ACAGUUACGCGUUCUGAUUGGUCUAGAGUCUACAGUGACUGUAGACUCUAGACCAAACAGAACGCGUAACUGUCUACAGUCGUUGCGCUACUGUAGACUCGACCCCUGCGAAUUUCCCAAAUGUGGAAAUCUCGAUUGCAUAAUUUCUGGUAGUGGGGGACUGCGUUCGCGCUCUCCCCUG
Molecule: small nuclear RNA, 181 nt
Gene: U1
Rfam family: U1 spliceosomal RNA
About the family: U1 is a small nuclear RNA (snRNA) component of the spliceosome (involved in pre-mRNA splicing).
Source: Ensembl